AGAGCGAACGCUGGCGGCAGGCCUAAUACAUGCAAGUCGAACGGAUCCUUCGGGAUUAGUGGCGGACGGGUGAGUAACGCGUGGGAACGUGCCCUUUGGUUCGGAACAACUCAGGGAAACUUGAGCUAAUACCGAAUGUGCCCUUCGGGGGAAAGAUUUAUCGCCAUUGGAGCGGCCCGCGUCUGAUUAGCUAGUUGGUGGGGUAAAGGCCCACCAAGGCUACGAUCAGUAGCUGGUCUGAGAGGAUGAUCAGCCACACUGGGACUGAGACACGGCCCAGACUCCUACGGGAGGCAGCAGUAGGGAAUCUUGCGCAAUGGGCGAAAGCCUGACGCAGCCAUGCCGCGUGAAUGAUGAAGGUCUUAGGAUUGUAAAAUUCUUUCAGCGGGGACGAUAAUGACGGUACCCGCAGAAGAAGCCCCGGCUAACUUCGCGCCAGCAGCCGC
RNAcentral lists this ribosomal RNA (446 nucleotides) under uncultured bacterium. Its description in RNAcentral is "SSU rRNA". It matches the Rfam family "Bacterial small subunit ribosomal RNA", at positions 26 to 518 of the family's 1533-position model. The record is from RNAcentral.